CAGGGCCUGUCCUUGGAAACACAGGGGCUCAGGCCCACCCCGGAAAUGGCUUCCCAUUUGAGGGGAGCCAGAGAAGGCCCCACUCCUCCAAGGACCAGCAGGCAGUCGGGAAACUCCCAGGAAGGGAGAUAAGAAGAUCACAUGGAGGGGGGCCCAGGCAGCGGCCAGGUGUGAGGAGGACCCUGUGCUCACAGUCGGCCCUCAGUCCUGUUGGGGGGCGAUCGCUCCUGCCGUCCUCCCUGCCUCCGCCACUAUGGACCCUGAAUUGAGAGCUGAGGCAGGCAGCAGACAGGGACCAUGGCCCACCAGGCUCCUCUGUCCAUGGAAUUCUCCAGGCAA
Long non-coding RNA from Cervus elaphus (red deer), 339 nucleotides. RefSeq lists it as uncharacterized. Lineage: Eukaryota; Metazoa; Chordata; Mammalia; Artiodactyla; Cervidae. The record is from RefSeq and is a predicted model, not a curated record. The transcript has 3 exons.